Molecule: long non-coding RNA, 592 nt
Organism: Meriones unguiculatus (Mongolian gerbil)
Lineage: Eukaryota; Metazoa; Chordata; Mammalia; Rodentia; Muridae
Exons: 2
Source: RefSeq, a predicted model, not a curated record
CCAGGUGGAUGCCUGGUUCCUGAAGAGGCCAGAAGAUGGAAAUGAAUCCCCUGGAACUGGAGUUACAGAUGGGUUGAGCUAUCAGGUAAAUACUGCUGAUGGAUGGAUUUCUUCAGUGUUGCCUGGCAAGGGUCAAUUGUGGCAAUCUAUCCAAGUUUUUUGUCUCUGUGGAUGCUAUUCUGAGAUCUACUUUUCUGAAUGAGCUCAUUAAUUCCUUGAAAGAAUUUCAUCAGUGAUGACUUGAAGAUUUUUCCAAAAUCUUUAGUUACAUGUCCUGAACUUUCUUUUUGCAUAUGUCAGAUAUUGACAACUGGAGGAAUUUUGAGAUGUUUAUAUGCUAGAUUGGGUAGUUAGGUAUCUUUGCUUUAGAAUUUGACUUAUGAUCAAAUGCAGACGGAGUAUCCACAGUACAUCAUCCAUUGUUUGGAGAUAGAAUCAUGGCUACUACUAAGUGAUAUGCUUAGAAAUUCCCAUAAUUUACUGUUAAUGCUUUUUACCACACUCUGUCACCUUUUAACUAUUGUCAUAUCAAAGUAAUUAAUUCACUGCUAUUUGAAAUCUGCCUACAAUAAACAUAAUUCUCUUCUCUGUG